UAAAAACAUGCCUGCUUUUUUUGUCUG
Molecule: non-coding RNA, 27 nt
Filed under: Rattus norvegicus (Norway rat)
Lineage: Eukaryota; Metazoa; Chordata; Mammalia; Rodentia; Muridae
Source: RNAcentral